UGGGGCGUGGCCAAGUGGUAAGGCAACGGGUUUUGGUCCCGCUAUUCGGAGGUCAAACUCUUCCGUCCCAG
RNAcentral lists this transfer RNA (71 nucleotides) under Datura stramonium (jimsonweed). RNAcentral describes it as "tRNA-Gln". It matches the Rfam family "tRNA". From Rfam's summary of the family: Transfer RNA (tRNA) molecules are approximately 80 nucleotides in length. Their secondary structure includes four short double-helical elements and three loops (D, anti-codon, and T loops). Lineage: Eukaryota; Viridiplantae; Streptophyta; Magnoliopsida; Solanales; Solanaceae. The record is from RNAcentral.